UACGAAGGGGGCUAGCGUUGCUCGGAAUGACUGGGCGUAAAGAGCGCGUAGGCGGCUCGUUAAGUGUGGUGUGAAAUCUCCAGGGCUCAACCCGGAACUGCACCGCAUACUGGCGAGCUUGAGGGAUGCAGAGGUGGAUGGAAUUCCUGGUGUAGCGGUGAAAUGCGUUGAUAUCAGGAGGAACACCCGUGGCGAAGGCGGUCCACUGGGCAUCAUCUGACGCUGAGACGCGAAAGCGUGGGGAGCGAACAGG
This 253-nucleotide ribosomal RNA is filed under the name uncultured bacterium. RNAcentral describes it as "partial 16S ribosomal RNA". It matches the Rfam family "Bacterial small subunit ribosomal RNA", at positions 524 to 776 of the family's 1533-position model. The record is from RNAcentral.